RNAcentral lists this long non-coding RNA (285 nucleotides) under Gossypium raimondii (Peruvian cotton). Its description in RNAcentral is "long non-coding RNA (GRAI_LNC000410)". Lineage: Eukaryota; Viridiplantae; Streptophyta; Magnoliopsida; Malvales; Malvaceae. The record is from RNAcentral.
CAAGAUUCUGUGAUGCAGAUGGAGUUAUGGAAAUUGUAGAAGGAGCAAUGGUUCUUGGGUUGGGCAGAAGCAGCUUGCUGGUGCCUAAGGAAGGUUUAAUGGACCAUUUUUCCAGAGCAAUCUGUUGCUCAUGAAGUUAGGUUAGCCUAAUAGCAUCCUCCAGCUUAGUGGGUUUAUAAAUCAAAACAACGGUUUUGAUAUCGAAUCUGAGGCCUGAGACAAAACAAUGAACCAAAAAUAGUGGUGGCAAAUACAUGGUCCUAUUGAUAAUGGUUUCAAAUCGAG